AAGCUCGUAGUUGAAUUUCGGGAUUAAUACGUCGGUCGUGCUUUCGGGUACGUACUGGCGUCAUUGGUUUCUCCUUUCUGACGAACCAUGAUGUCAUUAAUUUGGUGUUAUGGGGAGUUAGGACUGUUACUUUGAAAAAAUUAGAGUGUUUAAAGCAGGCAUUAGCUUGAAUACAUUAGCAUGGAAUAAUGAAAUAGGACGUUCGAUCCUAUUUUGUUGGUUUCUAGGAUCAACGUAAUGAUUAAUAGGGAUAGUUGGG
Molecule: ribosomal RNA, 259 nt
Filed under: Glomus sp. FF
Lineage: Eukaryota; Fungi; Glomeromycota; Glomeromycetes; Glomerales; Glomeraceae
Description: partial 18S ribosomal RNA
Rfam family: Eukaryotic small subunit ribosomal RNA
Source: RNAcentral